GCAGAAAUACCCAACUGAUUAUUGCGUCUCAUGGCGAUUGCAUUUUCAGCAUUGAAGAGUAUCCAUUGACUGCAGAAGGCUCCGCCCACUCCUCCUGAUCUCCAUGUGCCCCGCCCAGGGGCAGAGCCAUAUAGCCAUCAAUCCACCCUCUUUGAGUGACGGAGGCAUCCCGCUGCAUUUUGUUAUUGUAAAAACGAGUGCGAGUAAUACAGUAGACGGGGCCCGUGACAGGAGGAGCCACGCUGUGACCUGCUGCCCACCGCAACCUACACACAACCCCUCACAGGAGGAGAAACUCUCUGUUGAGCUCCAGGACGGGCAGACCCACGGGAGCCGGUGCUUGGCUAACACCAGCAAAUAGGAUGGAAUUAUUGUGUAAUGACAUGUGGGCUUUGCAGUCUGCAUAUUACACCACAGGACCAAAGGCCAGA
Long non-coding RNA from Onychostoma macrolepis, 431 nucleotides. RefSeq lists it as uncharacterized. The transcript is spliced from 3 exons. The record is from RefSeq and is a predicted model, not a curated record. Lineage: Eukaryota; Metazoa; Chordata; Actinopteri; Cypriniformes; Cyprinidae.